RNAcentral lists this transfer RNA (63 nucleotides) under Coracopsis vasa (Greater vasa parrot). Its description in RNAcentral is "tRNA-Phe". Lineage: Eukaryota; Metazoa; Chordata; Aves; Psittaciformes; Psittacidae. The record is from RNAcentral.
CCUUGUAGCUUUAGGCUUAAAGCAUGGCACUGAAGAUGCCAAGACGGGCACACCCCCAAGGAC